UUAGUCUAGACUAGAAUCAAUUAUCAAUAUAUUUAUUGACAAUAUCAAUAUAAUUAGCUGAAAACUUAUCUAAUCACUUUAUGUCAAUUUUAAUAUAAUAAGACUAUCCUAAGAAUUGAGAGAAGAAGGAUGAGGGUUUAUUUGAAGAAUUUUGGAUCUCAACUAUUUCUUCUUGAGUAUUAAAUGAUUUAGAGGAUGAUUACUUGAUUAGAUUAAAUAUAUAAAAAUAGAAGGU
RNAcentral lists this long non-coding RNA (235 nucleotides) under Physcomitrium patens. RNAcentral's name for it is "long non-coding RNA (PPAT_LNC006201)". Lineage: Eukaryota; Viridiplantae; Streptophyta; Bryopsida; Funariales; Funariaceae. The record is from RNAcentral.